This 253-nucleotide ribosomal RNA is filed under the name uncultured bacterium. Its description in RNAcentral is "partial 16S ribosomal RNA". It matches the Rfam family "Bacterial small subunit ribosomal RNA", at positions 524 to 776 of the family's 1533-position model. The record is from RNAcentral.
UACGUAGGGUGCAAGCGUUGUCCGGAAUUAUUGGGCGUAAAGAGCUUGUAGGCAGUUUGUCGCGUCUGCUGUGAAAUUUCGGGGCUCAACCCCGAACUUGCAGUGGGUACGGGCAGACUAGAGUGUGGUAGGGGAGACUGGAAUUCCUGGUGUAGCGGUGAAAUGCGCAGAUAUCAGGAGGAACACCGAUGGCGAAGGCAGGUCUCUGGGCCACUACUGACGCUGAGAAGCGAAAGCAUGGGGAGCGAACAGG